This 1286-nucleotide ribosomal RNA is filed under the name metagenome. RNAcentral describes it as "bacterial SSU rRNA". It matches the Rfam family "Bacterial small subunit ribosomal RNA", at positions 242 to 1520 of the family's 1533-position model. The record is from RNAcentral.
UAGCUAGUUGGUGAGGUAAAGGCUUACCAAGGCGACGAUCUGUAGCGGGUCUGAGAGGAUGAUCCGCCACACUGGAACUGAGACACGGUCCAGACUCCUACGGGAGGCAGCAGUGGGGAAUUUUGGACAAUGGGGCAACCCUGAUCCAGCCAUGCCGCGUGAGUGAAGAAGGCCUUCGGGUUGUAAAGCUCUUUCGGCCGGGAAGAAAUCGCAUGGGCCAAUACCCUGUGUGGAUGACGGUACCGGAAUAAGAAGCACCGGCUAACUACGUGCCAGCAGCCGCGGUAAUACGUAGGGUGCGAGCGUUAAUCGGAAUUACUGGGCGUAAAGCGUGCGCAGGCGGUUUUGUAAGACAGGCGUGAAAUCCCCGGGCUUAACCUGGGAACUGCGUUUGUGACUGCAAGGCUAGAGUACGGCAGAGGGGGGUGGAAUUCCACGUGUAGCAGUGAAAUGCGUAGAGAUGUGGAGGAACACCAAUGGCGAAGGCAGCCCCCUGGGUCGAUACUGACGCUCAUGCACGAAAGCGUGGGUAGCAAACAGGAUUAGAUACCCUGGUAGUCCACGCCCUAAACUAUGUCAACUAGGUGUUGGGUGGGUAAAACCAUUUAGUACCGUAGCUAACGCGUGAAGUUGACCGCCUGGGGAGUACGGCCGCAAGGUUAAAACUCAAAGGAAUUGACGGGGACCCGCACAAGCGGUGGAUGAUGUGGAUUAAUUCGAUGCAACGCGAAAAACCUUACCUACCCUUGACAUGCCUGGAACUUGCCAGAGAUGGCUUGGUGCCCGAAAGGGAGCCUGGACACAGGUGCUGCAUGGCUGUCGUCAGCUCGUGUCGUGAGAUGUUGGGUUAAGUCCCGCAACGAGCGCAACCCUUGUCGUUAAUUGCCAUCAUUUAGUUGGGCACUUUAACGAGACUGCCGGUGACAAACCGGAGGAAGGUGGGGAUGACGUCAAGUCCUCAUGGCCCUUAUGGGUAGGGCUUCACACGUCAUACAAUGGUCGGUACAAAGGGUUGCCAAGCCGCGAGGCGGAGCCAAUCCCAGAAAGCCGAUCGUAGUCCGGAUUGCAGGCUGCAACUCGCCUGCAUGAAGUCGGAAUCGCUAGUAAUCGUGGAUCAGCAUGUCACGGUGAAUACGUUCCCGGGUCUUGUACACACCGCCCGUCACACCAUGGGAGCGGGUUCCGCCAGAAGUAGGUAGCCUAACCGCAAGGGGGGCGCUUACCACGGCGGGGUUCGUGACUGGGGUGAAGUCGAAACAAGGUAGCCGUAGGGGAACCUGCGGCUG